GACGAACGCUGGCGGCGUGCCUAAUACAUGCAAGUAGAACGCUGAAGGAGGAGCUUGCUUCUCUGGAUGAGUUGCGAACGGGUGAGUAACGCGUAGGUAACCUGCCUGGUAGCGGGGGAUAACUAUUGGAAACGAUAGCUAAUACCGCAUAAUGGUAGAUGUUGCAUGACAUUUGCUUAAAAGGUGCAAUUGCAUCACUACCAGAUGGACCUGCGUUGUAUUAGCUAGUUGGUGGGGUAACGGCUCACCAAGGCGACGAUACAUAGCCGACCUGAGAGGGUGAUCGGCCACACUGGGACUGAGACACGGCCCAGACUCCUACGGGAGGCAGCAGUAGGGAAUCUUCGGCAAUGGACGGAAGUCUGACCGAGCAACGCCGCGUGAGUGAAGAAGGUUUUCGGAUCGUAAAGCUCUGUUGUAAGAGAAGAACGAGUGUGAGAGUGGAAAGUUCACACUGUGACGGUAUCUUACCAGAAAGAGACGGCUAACUACGUG
Molecule: ribosomal RNA, 495 nt
Filed under: uncultured bacterium
Lineage: Bacteria
Description: partial 16S ribosomal RNA
Rfam family: Bacterial small subunit ribosomal RNA
Source: RNAcentral